Molecule: long non-coding RNA, 637 nt
Organism: Paramisgurnus dabryanus
Lineage: Eukaryota; Metazoa; Chordata; Actinopteri; Cypriniformes; Cobitidae
Source: RefSeq, a predicted model, not a curated record
ACGAUCGCAAAUAGAGCCCGGAGGAUUAUUUUCACAAGUACUUUUUAACAUCGCGGUACUAUUGGUUGUAUUUUGUGAAUAGAAUAUUACCAGAAAAUUGAGAAAGAGCCAGCUUAUUGAUUUUACUGUACUGAAAUCGUAGCCAGCUAACGUUCGCUAGGCUAUGUUUACUGCACCAGCCGCUGUUCACCCUGCAAGGAGAGUGGGGUGCUGUGAGCUGCGUGAUCCGCCGAGCUUUAAAAAGCUGAGAUGUCAACAGGAACAGACGAUGUUUUCCUUCGUAGGGAGGACAUUGAGGAGAUUCGGUUUGGAAUCGACAACUAUCAGUCUGACUCGUUGUCACUGGUUGUGUCUGUGUUUUUAAAGAUAAGGCUCCACCAUGUUGCCAAACUCACCUCUCUUGAACUACAGAAAGGGAGCACGGGAAAGAAGCUCUGGACAGGGGUGUGUGUGUGUGUGUGUGUGUGCGCGUGCGUGCGUGCGUGCGCGCGCGUGUGAGUGUGUGGGGGGGUUUACAAAUCAUUUUAAAUUGUUUCUUCACCAUAUUAAAAAGUCUUAUUUUAUUGCAACUAUCUGUUUCUGCAUCUUUGUCAUAUUUAUAGUGUGUGAUUUAUAAAAUAUCUUAUGUCCUACACCA